RNAcentral lists this ribosomal RNA (238 nucleotides) under uncultured Howardella sp. RNAcentral describes it as "partial 16S ribosomal RNA". It matches the Rfam family "Bacterial small subunit ribosomal RNA", at positions 96 to 334 of the family's 1533-position model. Lineage: Bacteria; Bacillati; Bacillota; Clostridia; Eubacteriales. The record is from RNAcentral.
CGGCGGACGGGUGAGUAACACGUGAGUAACCUGCCGUACACAUAGGGAUAGCCUCGGGAAACUGGGAUUAAUACCGAAUGAAACAUAUUAGUAGCAUUACUUUAAUGUCAAAGAUUUAUCGGUGUACGAUGGACUCGCGUCUGAUUAGCUAGUUGGUAAGGUAACGGCUUACCAAGGCGAUGAUCAGUAGCCGGCCUGAGAGGGUGACCGGCCACAUUGGGACUGAGACACGGCCCAA